RNAcentral lists this transfer RNA (361 nucleotides) under uncultured Microcystis sp. RNAcentral's name for it is "partial 16S-23S ribosomal RNA intergenic spacer". The stretch from base 136 to 209 matches the Rfam family "tRNA". Lineage: Bacteria; Bacillati; Cyanobacteriota; Cyanophyceae; Chroococcales; Microcystaceae. The record is from RNAcentral.
AAAGGGAGACCUAAUUCCAGUAGGAGACGAAAAAAAAGUAGUCCCUACCAAGAAUCAAUCCCAAAAGGUCGGAGCGAGGCAAAAUUGGCUUUCAAACUAGGUUCUGGGUUCACACAAGACCUGAAUCAGGAACAAGGGCUAUUAGCUCAGGUGGUUAGAGCGCACCCCUGAUAAGGGUGAGGUCCCUGGUUCGAGUCCAGGAUGGCCCACCUGCACAGGUGGAAGAAAGAAAAGAAGCUCCGAAUCAGCACCUUAUCUUACUUAUAUAGUAAGAGAGAAUGCUGGCUCUGAGUACAGAGUCCAGAGGAACCUUGAAAACUGCAUAGAGCUAGGUGAAAAAGCCAAAAAAGAAGACCGCAGG